GGGGGUAUAGCUCAGUUGGUAGAGUGCUUGCCUUGCCCUGGGUUCAAUCCCCAGCACCACCA
Molecule: transfer RNA, 62 nt
Filed under: Ictidomys tridecemlineatus (thirteen-lined ground squirrel)
Lineage: Eukaryota; Metazoa; Chordata; Mammalia; Rodentia; Sciuridae
Description: Spermophilus tridecemlineatus (thirteen-lined ground squirrel) tRNA
Rfam family: tRNA
About the family: Transfer RNA (tRNA) molecules are approximately 80 nucleotides in length. Their secondary structure includes four short double-helical elements and three loops (D, anti-codon, and T loops).
Source: Rfam by way of RNAcentral